This 281-nucleotide long non-coding RNA is filed under the name Gossypium raimondii (Peruvian cotton). RNAcentral describes it as "long non-coding RNA (GRAI_LNC002792)". Lineage: Eukaryota; Viridiplantae; Streptophyta; Magnoliopsida; Malvales; Malvaceae. The record is from RNAcentral.
GCCAAUUUUGAAAAAAAUAAAAAAAACUAAUGGUAGAAUAUUAAAAAGGCGGAGGGGCUAAAAGCGUAAUUUACCCCUCCGCAUAAAAACACGCGGACCCUAAGGCGGAUCGGGUCGGAUCCGGGUCGGGUACUCAAAACGACGCCAUUUUAGGCGUCUGAAGGUUUCCCCAAAACAGUACCGUUUUGGUACCCUAUAAAAGCCCUUAACUCUAAAAAAAAUUCAUUUCAAAACCGAUUUAAAAAAAAAACAAAAAAACCUUUAAAAAAACUCUCUCUCCC